AUGUCUCAAAAAGGCAAGAUUAUUUUCAAAGUUAAAAUAUUCUAGUAAGCUGAAUUCAUCAAUAUGGGAAUGGAGUAUACCCAAUAACCUGGGAUUUAUUCCAGGAAUGCAAGAAAUUGGCAAGCUUAUCCUGAUCUUUAUAUGGAAAUGCAGAGAACCCAGAAUUGACAAAACAGUCUUGAAAAGGUGAAAGUUGGUGGACUAACUCUUCUCAAUUUCAAAACUUACAAUAAAACUAAAAUGAUCAAGACAGUCACUUUGGCAUAAUGAUGGAUGCAAAUGGAAUUGAGAGCCCAGAAAUAUACCCUUACAUUUACAGUCAAUUGAUUUUUGCAAGGUGCCAAGACAGUUCAAUGGAGAAAGAAUAGUCUUUUCAACAAUGGUUUUGGAAGAACUGGAUAUCCAUCUAAGAAACGAUGCAGUAUGUGAACACUGUGAAUUCCUAUGAGAGCACCCCUCCUGACUCCUGUUCCUCUCUCCUCUGCCCCAGAACUUCAGGUAUU
Long non-coding RNA from Molossus molossus (Pallas's mastiff bat), 503 nucleotides. RefSeq lists it as uncharacterized. NCBI's taxonomy places the organism in Eukaryota, Metazoa, Chordata, Mammalia, Chiroptera, Molossidae. The record is from RefSeq and is a predicted model, not a curated record. The transcript is spliced from 3 exons.